ACCACAUCAGUCAUUCCGAUGCCAUCAGCUACACGCUCGCGUGGUUUUAUCACCACCAAUCGUGAUGCAUUUCCCGACUUGAAAGGUCAAUUCGUCGGCUGAAUAAAGAGGAGAGAGCAGAGGGAGGGAACCGGGGACACUGUGCAGGGAUAGAGUUUCUAUCUCUGCCGGUAACGGAUCUCUUUGACCACCGUAGAUUCGGUUUCUCCGCCGCUGCGGACUCGCAUAACAAAACGCACGCGACGCUUUAACGGAGAUACACAUCUAGUAUUUACCCAACGAUGAUCCGUUUCCCGUGUUGUUAUUUUUGUUUCGCAAACCGUAGAACAAACUCAUGGUGAUCGCCGAGCGCGCUGCGCGGUCGCUGCCCGGCGUCGUGUUACCUUCCUGCGGGCACCAUGGGUUCGUGAGAUGCCUUCGCUGUGGAAACGGAUCACCUUCUCGGUGGCCUCGGUGCUCUGUGUCGGCUCCGUGGGGCUCCUGGUCGUGGCCUUGUCCACGGAGCGGUGGGUCACCGGACGGAUCCUGUGUAAAACCGGGGCGGAGAUAGUGAACGCGUCCCACCCGGAGCUGGAGCAGUUCAUCGGGGACAUUUACUACGGCUUGUUCCAGGGAGGGAAGACCAAGAGGUGCGGGCUCGGCAACAGGCGCUCCAAAAUAUACAUUUUCCCAAAGCUUGUGCGGACGUUGAAUGGCGGCCUUCACGUGAUGGUGAUCCUGUUCCUGCUGGUGGCCGUGGGUUUCGCGCUGGUCAGUCUGUCUUUCUGCAUAUACAACGCCCGCAAAGUUCCCUACCAGAGCAUCAAAGGGCUCAAAGGAUUGUACCUAUGGAACUUCAUUGCUGCCCUUUUCGGAGCCCUGGGCGUGCUGUGUUUCCUGGCGGCCCUGAGACACCACAGUCUGACCGAGCGGAUAGCCAAUCAUCAGGAGGACCUCUUUGUGCUGGUUGUCCUGGACGACAGCCUGGACUGGUCCUUCUGGCUGGGUGUGGGCAGCAUUGCGACUCACUGUGCCGCCUGCGGAGUGGCCGCCAUGAGCCGGAUCAAACUGCCCAAACCGGAGAUCAAGAAACCUGAAGAACCCACCAUUUCUGCUUUGGACCUCCUCUACUGAAGGACCAAGGAGCGCUUACUUCACCACUAUGAAGCCACAAUGACUGACAGCAGUGUGAAACCAGCAUUCUGAAGUUUCUGAAAAAGCAACCUACACUAUUCUGUAUCUGUAAUAUACUUGACUAAAUGUACUUUCCAUGCGUGGUUAACUGAAGGUUUGUGUCACUAUUCGUGUCAUUAGUUUGAGGCCGCAGGUGAUUCAAAGCUUCGUGCAGCUGCUCGCCGCUGCCGCCACGCGGCGACGAAUGACUUCCCUGGUCGCGCUUUGGUGACGUAGAAACAACGCGACGGCGUCAGGGCGAUCGACUCUUGUCACUCGCAUGCGACCUCUGCAUCUUUGAGUUAGUUAGUCUGUUUGGGGGUUUUAUGUAUGUACAGCAGAUGACGAUGCUUCUUUUGAGGAAAACCGGGCCGACGGCGGCGCGGACGAAAUACUGCCGGUUAUUUUCUGCGUCACGGACUCACCUGAACGACAGAAAAGGUCUGGUGCUGGGAGCUUUUGAGAAGGAGGGAGACGAGGCUGGCCUUCAUCUUACUGAAGCAGCUGCUAGUUUUGAUAAAAACAUUUCUGGAAAACUCUCUGAACUGCUGAAAAUCUCUGGGCCGACUCUCAAGAAAGGCAGAAGCAGAAUAUUUUAUGGAAUCCACGAGGACUUCCCGUGUGUGGCAGUAGUUGGGCUGGGUAAGACCAGUGCAGGUGUGUGUGCUUCAGAAAACUGGGACACCAGCAAAGAGAACAUCAGACAGGCGGCAUCAGCUGGCUGCCGCCUGCUCCAGGACCUGGAGGUCAACCAUGUGGAGGUGGACGGCUGCGGCGAUGCCCAAUCGGCAGCAGAAGGCGCCGCUCUGGGUUUGUUCCAGUACGACCAACUCAAAUCUAAGAAGAAGACUAAAGUAACCACACAGCUCCACGGAAGUUCUGACUCGGCCGGGUGGCAGAAAGGAGUCAAGUAUGCAGAUGGCCAGAAUCUGGCACGGCUACUCAUGGAAGCUCCCGCCAAUCACGUCACUCCUACUGCUUUUGCCAACACAAUCGAAGAGCGAUUGGCGGUGCUUUCUGAAAGAGUCACAGUAAACAAGAGAUCUCAGGCCUGGAUAGAGCAGCAACAAAUGGGAGCGUUUCUCAGUGUGUCCAGAGGCUCAGAAGAGCCCCCUGUCUUCCUGGAGCUACAUUACAACGGUUCUCCUGACAGCAAGCAGCCCCCACUGCUCUUAGUGGGCAAGGGCAUCACCUUUGACAGUGGUGGUAUUUCUCUGAAGCCAUCUCCUUCCAUGGAUGCGAUGAGAGCUGAUAUGGGGGGAGCGGCCACAGUCUGCGCAUCCAUCGUCACGGCAGCGGCUCUUAAACUACCAAUCAACAUUAUUGGUCUGGCUCCCCUGUGUGAGAACAUGCCCAGUGGAAAAGCUACGAAACCAGGGGAUGUCGUCACGGC
Molecule: non-coding RNA, 2545 nt
Organism: Gasterosteus aculeatus aculeatus (three-spined stickleback)
Lineage: Eukaryota; Metazoa; Chordata; Actinopteri; Perciformes; Gasterosteidae
Source: RefSeq, a predicted model, not a curated record